This 253-nucleotide ribosomal RNA is filed under the name uncultured bacterium. RNAcentral's name for it is "partial 16S ribosomal RNA". It matches the Rfam family "Bacterial small subunit ribosomal RNA", at positions 524 to 776 of the family's 1533-position model. The record is from RNAcentral.
UACAGAGGUCCCAAGCGUUGUUCGGAUUCACUGGGCGUAAAGGGUGCGUAGGCGGUGAGGUAAGUCGGAUGUGAAAUCUCCGAGCUCAACUCGGAAAUGGCAUUGGAAACUACCUUGCUAGAGGGUUGGAGGGGGGACUGGAAUACUUGGUGUAGCAGUGAAAUGCGUAGAUAUCAAGUGGAACACCAGUGGCGAAGGCGAGUCCCUGGACAACUCCUGACACUGAGGCACGAAAGCUAGGGGAGCAAACAGG